This 2118-nucleotide unclassified non-coding RNA is filed under the name Leguminivora glycinivorella. Its description in RNAcentral is "uncharacterized LOC125239825, transcript variant X1". The record is from RNAcentral. Lineage: Eukaryota; Metazoa; Arthropoda; Insecta; Lepidoptera; Tortricidae.
GGCAUUGCCAACAUAAAAGUGUUAUUCUGAUUUGUUAUCUGUAUUAUAAAUGUAGCCAAGGAUUGGUUACUUAUUUUUAUUAUCUGUGUCUCUCUCUUCUCCAACUAUGGCCGCCAUGAGCGGGUGCUAUUUUAUAUUGUAAUUGUGAAAGUACAAUAAACCAGUGAAAAUAACCAGCCUCCUUUUUAAUGAUACAGUCCAACUAAGUAAUAAACUCAACAUGGUCCUAUCUCACCGUUUAUUAACAUCGUGAGUACUUUCGCCGAGACACUUUCGCCCGGCAACAUGGUGGCACGCAUGGUGCACGAGCUGUCUACACGCCGUUCUCACAGCGGAAAGGAGCGCCAUUAAUAUUUAUAGUAGCCGAAUUGUCGCACGUUCAGUGCUAUACGUCGUGCACUCAACAUCGAGCUACACAACCCAAGAACUGACCUGGUGCACGUGCAGUCUGGACGCCGUGCACUCGGCCUCAUCGAGCUACGUGACGCUAUCACCGAAUUGGUGCACGUGCAGUCUGCACGCCGUGCACUGCGGACUCAUCGAGCUUCGAAUCGUAAUCCUCGACAAGAUACACGUGCAGUCUACACGCCGUGUGCUCGGAAAAUUUAAAUACGUGACGUGAUUAACAAACUGAUACACUUGCAGUCUACACGCAGUGUAGUCAUCAAUUUGAACUACGCAUCGUAAUUUAUUUAAGACCCGACCUGUGGUACGUGCAGUCCAGUACGCCGUGCUCUCAGCAGGAUAGGACAUGGAACUAACUGAUUUGCAUUGACUUUAAAUAUUUUAAUAGUGACAAUAGUGUUUUAUAGACAUUACAGUAAUUAAUUUAGAUUGUAUACUGUGUGCUGUGAAGCAAUGAGUAAUUUGAGUGGAAUGUCGCUGGCGGACCUUGUGGCCGGGAGGGGCUACGUUAAGGCCAAAAUUUCAAGAACUUGUAACUCAGUGAAGAUAACUGAUUCAAAUGAGAUGUUACUAAAUCAAAAAACUAGAUUAUUAGAAGCAUUCAAAGAAUAUGAAGAUUACAACAUAAACAUACUAAAGUUAGAAUCUAAUGACACUGAACCUAUUGAGGAAUAUGAAAAUAAAUACUUAAAUGCAUUAACAAUUAUUGACGAAGAAAUCAACAGACGCAAUGCCCACUCUCCCUCCACGAGGCCCGAACAGGUGGUAAAAUUGCACCAGCCUAUCAAGUUACCACCCAUAGACAUACCUUGCUUUAGUGAUGCCUACACAGCCAGAGCAUAUCACAUGGAGCGGGACGCUGACACAGACCCAACAAUGGAAGGCUUCCUUGACUACCUAGAGAGGCGUGCACUGGCCUUAGAAAAUGCUGAACCAGGGACAUCGGGACAACCUCGCUACUUGCCUGCUAAUAAGACUGUACUAAUAGCAACUGAAAAAACGCUGCAGUGUGAUUUAUGCAUUGAUACUAACGGGUCCAGCAUACCAGCCAUCGAGUCACCAGCAGGCGACUGGCAGCGAACAGGGGAAGAAUGCAGCUCGAUCGCAGUUUGAGCUGUCAACCCAGCCCACCAUAGUUAACACCCAAUUUGGUCACAUUAUCGGAGGUGGCCUACCACAUCUAGUAGCAUGCAAUAAGAUGCCUCCAGUUCAACUGCCUAUGGCUGCUGUGUCUACCUGCGCGUCACUGACUGUAAAGGUAAAACUAUAAUGCAUUUGCUCUGCUCUAAGUCCCGAAUCAAUUCGAUUAGCAAGAGUAAUACCGUCCCGAGACUUGAACUGGAAGCUGCAUUACUCCUAUCAAAGCUUGUUGCACGGGUGUAUCGCACUCUUAAAGUAAAACUUAACAUCAAUAAUGUUUACCUGUUCGCUGACUCACAAAUUUGUCUUGCUUGGCUAAACACACAAUUGACAAGACUGCAAGCUUACGUAGCCAACCGAGUCAAGAUAAUAAAGGAGCUAACAGGUGAGUUCGUCUGGCUUUACGUGAACACCAAAGACAAUCCGAGUGAUCUUAUCAGUCGCGGUGUCAGUCCGCAAGAUCUUGCAGCAUGUAAAAUGUGGUUUUUUGGACCUGAGUUUUUGCAUGACAGUGAGUAUACAUUUAAGUGUAUUUUAAAUAUACCAAACGACCUGCCUGAAGUUAAACCUGCA